Molecule: ribosomal RNA, 967 nt
Filed under: uncultured archaeon
Lineage: Archaea
Description: bacterial SSU rRNA
Rfam family: Archaeal small subunit ribosomal RNA
Source: RNAcentral
ACGGCUCAGUAACACGUCGAUAAUCUACCAUUAGGUUUGUGAUAACCUUGGGAAACUGAGGCUAAUAACAGGCAGGGGAUAACUCCUGGAAUGGGUUUUCCCUGAAAGGCAACGCCUAAGGAUGAGUCGGCGGCCGAUUAGAUUGUUGGUGAGGUAACGGCUCACCAAGUCUUGGAUCGGUAGGGGCCUUGAAAGAGGGAGCCCCGAGAGGGACACUGAGAUACUGGUCCCAGCCCCACGGGGUGCAGCAGGCGCGAAACCUUUACACUGCACGAAAGUGUGAUAAGGGGAUCCCGAGUGCUUAUGCUUAGCAUAAGCUUUUGCUAAGAGUAAAUAUCUUGGCGAAUAAGUGGUGGGUAAGACUGGUGCCAGCAGCCGCGGUAACCCCAGCGCCGCAAGUAGGGACCAUUUAUUUGGCCUAAAGCGUCCGUAGCCGGUUUAGUAAAUCUUUUGUGAAAUCAUUGGGCUUAACUCAAUGAAUUGCAGGAGAGACUGCUAGACUUGGAACCGGGAGGGGUCAGAAGUAUUCUUGGGGGAGCGGUAAAAUGUUUUAAUCCCAAGAGGACUACCUGUGGCGAAGGCGUCUGACCAGAACGGGUUCGACGGUGAGGGACGAAGGCUAGGGGAGCAAACCGGAUUAGAUACCCGAGUAGUCCUAGCAGUAAACGCUGUGAACUAGGUGUUGCAUAUUCUUUAUGAAUAUGCAGUGUCGACGCGAAGGCAUUAAGUUCACCGCCUGGGAAGUACGGUCGCAAGACUGAAACUUAAAGGAAUUGGCGGGGGAGCGCUACAAGGGGUGCGGCGUGCGGUUUAAUUUAACUCCACACAGAGAAUCUCACCAGAGGCGACGGCAGGAUGAAGGUCAGUCUAAUGGGCUUACCAAACAAGCCGAGAGGUGGUGCAUGGCCGCCGUCAGCUCGUGCUGUAAGGUGUCCAGCUAAGUCUGGUAACGAGCGAGACCCCCACC